This 414-nucleotide ribosomal RNA is filed under the name uncultured bacterium. Its description in RNAcentral is "bacterial SSU rRNA". It matches the Rfam family "Bacterial small subunit ribosomal RNA", at positions 355 to 786 of the family's 1533-position model. The record is from RNAcentral.
UGGGGAAUAUUGCACAAUGGGGGAAACCCUGAUGCAGCAACGCCGCGUGGGUGAAGAAGUAUUUCGGUAUGUAAAGCCCUAUCAGCAGGGAAGAGAAUGACGGUACCUGACUAAGAAGCCCCGGCUAACUACGUGCCAGCAGCCGCGGUAAUACGUAGGGGGCGAGCGUUAUCCGGAUUUACUGGGUGUAAAGGGAGCGUAGACGGAACAGCAAGUCUGAAGUGAAAGCCCGCGGCUCAACUGCGGAACGGCUUUGGAAACUGCGGUUCUGGAGUACUGGAGAGGUAAGCGGAAUUCCUGGUGUAGCGGUGAAAUGCGUAGAUAUCAGGAGGAACACCGGCGGCGAAGGCGGCUUACUGGACAGAAACUGACGUUGAGGCUCGAAAGCGUGGGGAGCAAACAGGAUUAGAUACC